This 28211-nucleotide long non-coding RNA is filed under the name Gossypium raimondii (Peruvian cotton). RNAcentral describes it as "long non-coding RNA (GRAI_LNC003259)". Lineage: Eukaryota; Viridiplantae; Streptophyta; Magnoliopsida; Malvales; Malvaceae. The record is from RNAcentral.
CUUAAAUUACAUAAUUUUUUUUUAAAACUUAAACCUCAAGAAAGUAAGUAACAAAAUUUUGAAACGAUAUAGAAAAUAUGGGAUUUUGUACCUCUUUGGGUUUUUUGUCUGAUUUAUUAUCAGAAUCCUGGUUUUUCUGUUGGUCAGGUUUUUUCUCUUUUUUUUCCUCUUUGUUAUCAUCUUUCUUGGGUUGAGAAGAAAUGAGCUCAACUUUCUUCUUCGUUUUCUUGUCGAGUUUCUCUUUAAUGGCAGUGGGAUCCGCAGUUCCUAUCACCGUCACUUUGUUUGAGCUCAUCUCUGGUUUCACCGUCUCCACCCCUGCGACCAAAAAAAAAAAACACAGGAAAACAGAGUAAAUAACAAGAGCAGAAUGAAGAAAUGAAGAGGGAAAAGCCAGAAACAAGAAUGGGAAAUAAGCGUGGAAAGCGAUUAUACCUUCAAAGUGAUUAAUGCAUUUGAGGAUUUUGGAAGCACAACCAUCACAGAGACACUCAAAUUUGAAAACAGAGGUUGAAGAACUCUUUUCCUUCAUUUUCCCAUCCCCUCCUCCUUGCUUGUUUCCGUUCUUUUUCUGCAACAAACACGAAGAACAACCAUAACACAAAAUCAUAUUAAUUAUGAACCAGAAAACGAAAUGAAAGAUGAUGAAAAGAGUAAAAAAAGAGAAAGAGAAACGGAGUUAGGGAGUGUAGUGCUAACUCACCUCUCCCAUUGCGAGUGGAAAUGCGUUAUGUGAAUCGGGUUUAAGUGAUGAUUUGAAAUAUGAGAGGAAAAAAGGAGAAGCAGUAUUUAUAGAGGGGAUGGAUGGUUCAAAACGCGUGGAAUGAAGGGUGGCUGGCUAAGGGGUUAAGACUUGAGAGUUGGGGGGUACUUCAAGGAAAAAGUGGUGGGCUUCAAAAGUAAAAAAAGAAUUGGAGGUUCUUGGCUGUUUCUUUCUCUGUGUCCAUUUAUGCAACUUAGGAACAUUAAUCCACUCCCUCCCCCAUCACCUGUUCACUCAUGCUUUGCCUCUAGUCCCACCUGAAUCACAGUGGUCUCCCCAAUGAACUUACCUAAACCCACAUUUCGACUGCAUUUUGUAUUUUCUUUGUUACUCACACACACCCAUUUAGACUAUCACUCAUGUAUAGCUUGCAUCCAUCCUACAACUUUAAGGAUAUAAUGAACACCCUUAACCAAUAAAUCAAAUGUUAAAGUUCAAAUAUAGAGCAUUUCUUAAUUUGUCCAUGUCAAUUAAUUAUAUAAUCCAAAUCUCAUUAAUUAAUAAUAUUAUUAAUAUAAAUAUAACAAAGUUCUCUAUAUUUUAUUAAAAAUUUAAAAUUUAGUCCUUAUACUUUCUUUUUUGCUGUUAGAAUUUAUGAUAUGACUUUUAUAAAACGAAAAAGUAAAAUAACUCUUUAAGCCUUUAACAGUUAAAAGUAAUUUAUCAAUUUAGCCCUUACACUUUAAAAUUACAUAAAAGUUAGAAAAAAAUGUUUUAAAAAUUAAAGCUUUUUCAUAUUUUCAAUAAAAAAUUGUGAAAAAAUUACAAAUGCAACCAAGGAUCUUCUUUUGAAUAAAUUAAAAGCUUUUUCAUAUUUUCAAUAAAAAAUAUAAAAAAAUUGUGAAAAAUUAAAAUCUCUUUCAUAUCUUCAAUAAAAAAUUACAAAUGGGGACCGGAGUUUGGUGUUUCUUUUGAAUCGAAUGAGUACAAAAAUAAUAAAGUUAUAAAAAGUAAGAAAAUACAUGUGAAAAUGAAUGCAAGCAAGGCAGGUGAGAUUCAAGGAUCUUAUACUGCAAAGGGGUAUUGAUGCGAGAGAGAAUGAUUUUGUUAAUAAAUAUCUGUUAUUUCUAUUAACAAUAAUUGACCAUGAUGAUUUUUUUUUUAUUUUUUAUUGUUGAUAGGAGAAUGGUUAUAUUUUAUUUUUUUUACAACUAAAUUUACGUAAAAAUAUUUAUAUAUAAUUAAUCUGGUUUAAAAUUUUAAUUUUUUUUUCAAAUUUGAUUUAAUAUCAACCGAACGAAUAUCUCAAAUUUAGAGACACCUUAUUACUAUUCAUGAACUAGAUAACAUUUUUUUUUGAAUUUUCGAAAAAAAUUAUAUUUUUCAUAGUUGUUUAGUUAUCUAAAAUGACUUUUAUAAUUUUUUUUAAUUUUAAAGAGGUCUUAAUUUUCAAAAAAAAAUUAUAUUCAUUAUUGAAAAUAUGAAAAAAGACUUUUAAAUUUUGUAAAUUUUAUGUUCUUUAAAAGUGUAAAGACCAAAAUAAAAAAAAUUAUAAAUGUUGAGGGCUAAAAGAGUUAUUUUACUUUUUUUUUUAUAAUAACCACAUCAUCAAUACUAGCGGCAAAAUUGAUGGAGGGACCAAGAUUUUAAAUAAAAAAAGUAUAGGGACUCAAUGUCUCAAAAUUAAAGUAUUAUGGCUAAAUUUUAAAUUUCAAAAGAGUACAAGGACUUUUAAAAUAUUUAAACCUUUUUUUAAUUUGAAAAAUUAAAAAAAUCAAAUAUGAUCUAAAUUCUAAAUGUUGUUAUAGGUGUAUAAUAAUCACAUCUCUAUAAAAUUAUGGCAGACAAAUGAGACUGUUAUAGAGACAAAUGAGAAUGUAUAAUAAUCACAUCUCUAUAAUAAUCACAUCUUUCAAUAGUUUUUUUUUCUCUUGAGAUUAUUCAAUAUUUUAUGGUUACAUUGAAUUUUGAUUAAAUCUCAAAUCAGAUUCUAAACUAAGUGCACGUUGUUUUUUCGAUCAUAAGACUCGAACUUAAAAUCAUACUUAAAACACACUGAGCUCUUAACUACUAAGUCUAACUAAAACUAGUGAAAAAGCGCAAGUUGGUUUGCUCACAGUCUAACUUGAUGUCCCAACUGAUGUUCGGACACAAGUUUGAACAUGACAUUUUGACAGCAAUUUAUAAAUGGAGAGUAAAGUAAUGAGAGAAGUCAACAAAUGAUAUUUGUUAACACAGUUCAGAUCAACAAUCUUACUCUGUAGAGCCUCAGUUAGUGAAUGAUUUUAUUCAAUAAUUGUUAGGAUCACCUAUUGGCUUAAGCACUGUAACGACCUGAUAGUUAUGGGUAUCGGAAAAUUCAUUUCAGAGACUUUGUUACCAUAAAUCGGACUCGUAAAUAUUUUUAAUAAAUGUUUACAAAGCUAGUUGUGUGGUUAAUUAGGUUUUGGUUAGGUGAAUUUGUAUGAAUUAUGAGUAAUUAGGUAUAAGGAUUAAAUUGUAUAAAGGAUGAAAUUUGAAUUAUAGAUUAAAGAAAAACUAAAAGGACUAAAUAAGCAAUUAUGCUAAUAGUCAUAAUUGAGGCCUCAUAAGUGUAUAUAUUAUAAAAUUUUAAAGUUAAAAAAUAUAUAUUAUAAUUCUUGGCACCAUUUUUUUGAUAAAACGGGUCGACUUGGGUUUUAAAAAAUGAAAACGAAAGUGGGAGUCGCCACCAAUCUUUUUAAUGAGGUGUGAUCAGACCACCUUGAAAAGUGGUUAUUUUUAAUAAACAAUUUAAUUUUAUUAAAACAACAAUUUUGGGCCACGAAAUUCAAAAAAAUAGGUUCGGGAGUCGGUUACGUACAAGGAAGGAUUAGCACCCUUGUAACGCCCAAAAAUUGGUACCUAGUUGAUUAAUUAGUAUCUUAAUGUCGAAAGUCGAAAACUUUAAAGAAAUCUAAAAUACGAUCCUUUAGUGAAAUGCUAAAAUUGAGAAAAAGACAUAUUUUACAUUGAUCGAGAAGGAGAAUUACAUCCCGUAAGUUAGGAUGCAACGUCUCGAAUUCCCGAUAUAAAAAUGAAUAUCGAAAAAGAAUUUACUUAUUUUGAAAGAUAUUUGAUUAUCUCGGGUUUUAAGAAAGAGAUCAUGUCCCGUGAGUUAGAACACGAUCUUUUGUUAAUUCCCGAGUGCAUUUAAAAAACUUUGUUUGAAAUGAUUCGCGUAUUUAGAUUUAUCGAGAAAAUCGAAACCCCGUAAGUUAGGGUACGAUUUUUUUAGAAUAAUUGAAAUACGAAAAAACAGGUUUUGAUAUAUUGAAUAAAGUAAAAUGUAAAAAAUGCGAAAAUAAAUUACAUUGGAUACGCAUGCGAAAUAAUAAUAAAUACGAUAGUGUAACGUGAUACGAACGAUAGUGACAAAACGAGAUAUGAAAAGAUGAAUUAAUAACAUGCUGAACAAUGAGUAUUUAAGCAGGUAAGAGUGAAACAUUUAAUAUAAUAAUGAAAGCGUGAAUAAAAAAAUAAAUAAGUAAAUAUAAUUAUAAAAAUACAAAAGGGGAUAUGUAUAUGUAUAUGUAUAUAAAGUAUAUGUAAUAAGGAAUAUGCAAGCAUGUAUAUAUGAAAAUUAAAAAUAUGUAUAAAAAGAUAUAUAUAAGAUAUUAAAUAUAUGUGUAUAUAAAGAUAUAUAAAUAAUAUAAGGUAUAAAAUCUAAUAUAUAUUAGAAAGGUAUAUAAAUACAUAAAUAUGUACAUAAGUUAUAAAAUAAAAAGGAUAAAUUUAUGUUUAUAUAUAUUGUAAAAUAUGUAUAUAUAUAUUAAGAAAAUAUAAGCAUGUGCAUACUUUAUAAUUAUAAAUAAAAAUGCAUGUAUAUAUAUAGAUUAUAAAAUAUAUGUAUGUAUAUAUAUAUGUGUUUUAAAAUAUAUAUGUAAAAAAAAUACAUUAAUAUGUAUAUAGAUUACAAAGUACUAGAUAUAAAAGUAUGUGUAAUGUACAAAUAUUUGAUUAUAAUAACAAUAAUAAUACAGUAAUAAUAUUAUAUAAUAAUAUUAAUGAUAUUAAAACAAUUAAUUUGUUUAAAUAAAAUAACCUAAACGGCAAAAAUAGGAUUAAAUUGAAAAAAAAUUAAACUUUGAGCUCGAAAUUAAAAAUAAAAAUAACUAAAAGGAUUAAAUAAUAAGGCACGCGAAAGAGAGAGGACCAAAAGGGAAAUUUUCCCACGUUGGUUAAAAGGUGCCGUUUUAGCGAGGAUUAAUUUGUAAUCAUGGAAAAAUUACGGGAAAAAUUUAAAAAAAACUUAAUUAAAAAAUCCUUAAAAAGCGGAAGGACUAAAAUAGAAAAUAUCCCCUCAAACAAAACGCGCUGAUCCUCUGGUCUGGUCGGGUCGACGCGCGGAUCUGGGGGAUGAAACAACGUCGUUUUGUUAGGCUAUUUAAGCCAAGAGUUUUCCAAAAAAAAAAAAAACCAUUUUCCCCAUUCUCUAAAGAAAAAUCCUGAAACUCUCUCUCCCCUCUCUUUCUCCGUUCCUCUCUCCGGCCAGGGGCUCGGUCGUCGGUGCCGCCGUAUGCGGCGGUCGGAGGGCCAAAAAAAUCUGUUUUUUUCAGGCGAUUUGAUAGCAGGUAAUGUUCUCUUUUUCUACUUUCUGUCAAUAUGUAUGGAUGUAUGCGUAAUAUAUAAACAAAUACCUAUGUUAGUGGAUGGUUUCGAAAAAAAGAAAAAUAAAUAAAAAAGAAAACUUGGCUUUCCUUUUCUGUUUGUGACUUUCUUUUUGCGUGAAUCUGUUGUUUUUUUGUAUUUUUAAGUAACACUUUGUAUAAAAAAACACCGGAAGAAACAGAUUAUAGCCAAGUUCGGCUUUUAUACAUCUUUAUUACUAGUGCUGUCGUUUCUCUUUAAAUGUUUGCAGGUACUUGAUGGCACGACAAUGGCGGUUGAGCAGAGGGCAGAGGUAAGUGCACCACUUGCUACUGACGUGAUAGGUGCUGUGGCACUAGGGUUUCAAUCUCUAAAACCCUAGUUUACUCUUUGAUGGGUUUGGGCUUAGUCCUUUAGUUUGGGCCCCGGGUGUAAUUGGGUUUGAGUAAAAUUGGGCUAUACAAUAAUAUUAUAAUAUUAAAACAUAAAUGUUAAGUAUAUAUAUAUUAUAUUAUAUUAUAAUAAUAAAACAAAGAAAAAAGAAAUAGAAAGAAAGAAGCAGAGAAAGCCAAACGAAAUAGAAAAGAAAAGGGGAGAAAGGAGAAAGACGAAGGGACUUAGGGGUUUCAAAGUUUCAAGCUCAACUGGUUAGUCAAUUUAGUCCCUUUUUUAUUGUAAUUUUUAUAUUUUUGGAAUCCCAUUAUUAAAUACUACCCAACCCAUGUCAAAAUUUUAGAAAUUAUUAAGUUUUUAAGUGAUGUUUAUGUUGAAUAAUUUUAGUAUUAGGAAUUAAAUUGAUAGAUUUUUAAGCUAGAAAUGAAAAAUGAUUAAAUUGUAGAACAAAUUGUAAAUUUUGAGUAAUAGGGACUAAAUUGUAAAGAUUUUAAAAUUUAGGAAUUUAAGUGAAAUUAGAGAGUUAAAUCUAGUUUAAAGUGGAAAUUGAAUGAAAAUAUAGGAUUAAAUGUAAAGAAAUAAAGUUAGUCUCGGUUUAGGGACUAAACUGGAAUUUAGACAAAUAUUGAGUAAAAAUUGAAAUAUGCAAUAUGAAAUUGAAUUGUAUUGUAUUGAUGAAUUUUAAUUGUUUUAAUUCUGUAGCUAAUGUCGUACCGAAAUCCUCGAUUAAAAAUGGGAAAGAUAAAGUUGAUGUGAAAUAGCUCGGAAUUCCUGAUUUGUAUUUCUAUAAUCCGAAUCUAGUUAUUAAUUCUUGUAUUUUGAUUUAAUGCUUAUGGGAAGUGGUUGAGGUGAGUAUUUGGUAUUUUGAUAUUGAAUUGAAUUAAAGUUGAUGGAAAUUAAUUGAAUUGGUAUAUAUAUAUUAUGAUUAUUUGAUUUGAAUUGAAUUUAUGUGAUUAUAUGAAAAAUUGAUAUUGGUUAUUGGUUGUUUCUGAAAUGUGAAAUUUAAACCCUAUUAACUGUAUCGGGUUGAAUCAAAUAUAGAUGGCAUGCCAUAGGAUUGGAAGAGUUCAGGGAUUUCUUCGACUUCGAGUCGAUGAGAAACUGGGUGUCAAUUUACUACUUCGGAUUAAUUCGAUGAGGCACUAGGUGGCAAUUUACUUCGGUUUAACCGAUGAGACAAAAGGUGUCAAUUUAUUACUUUGAAUUAUCCGAUGAGGCACUGGUGCCAAACUAGUGUGUUUUGGUUGAAUCCGUGUAUCCGUCCAAGUACGAGUCGUGUUAAUAGGGGUAAAUAUAUAAUAAAGUUUUAUAAUUGAUAUUGAAAUGGUAUGGUAUGAGAAAUGGAAGUGAAAUAGUGAAUUGAAAAUAGAAAGUGAAAAUGUUGUAAAUAUAUGGAAUAUAUGAGUUAUAUACUCAUGAAAUGACUAUAAAACGUAUUGGAUCACACGGCCAAGGCCAUUUUAGGCCGUGUGGGCCACACGGGUGUGUGGGCCCACACCAGCCGACAACAUGGGCAUGUGGGCCCAUUUUUCACUGUUUUAAUGUUAAGGUUGCACGGGUCACCCGAGGCGGCUGUGAACCUUCUGUAGGGUUGGUAAGCUUACCUAGACCCCUAAUUGACUAAAUGACUAUUAUAUCCAUGAACGAUAUAUAUUUAUGACUAUGUAUAGAGCAUGUUGUUAAACUGUACUGAAUACAUGUAUGAUACUAUGAUAUGACAUGACAUGAUUGUAUGAUGCAUGGCACGGAGAUGGGUUAUUAUUGAUCGGAGAAAGUGUACUGGAAGGCUUCGAGCCUAACUUACUAGCAACUCAGCUGCAUAUUACUGUAUAGUACCGCAAUCGGUACUACUUGGAGUGUAGGGAUGAGUGGGUUGAUUAUAUCCCCACAUGCAGUGUAGGGUUGGACGGAGAUGGUGUGUAGAGGUUGGCUAGGUAGGACUUGUAUACUGCAUAAUCUGUUACUGCACUGAUUGCUGACAUUAUAAUGGGCCAAGGCCCAAAUGCAUGAUUACUUUUGUACUGAGAUGGGAUAAAGCCCAAACCGAUACCGUCACUGAUACUGAAAAAGGCUUAGGCCCAGACUGAGUUUAUUCUGUUUACUGUCUAAUUAUUCUGUAUACUGUCUGUUUGUUUGCACGGGAAAUUACACACUGAGUUUUGAAAACUCACCCACUUCUGUUAAUCUGUAUAGGUAAUCCCUAAUCAUAGGCAGAUCAGUGCGGCGGAGGACUCAGCGGUGGCCACACAACUCCUUUUUACUGUUUUGUACCUAAUUAUAUUUAUUUUUAAAGUUUUAUUUGGGGUUUUUUUAUCUAUAAUAAUGGCCACUAUGGAUUUUUUCUUUAAAUUUGGAUUUAAAACUGCUUUAUGUUUUAUAUCUGCUAGAGGUAGAUAAAACACGGGUUUUUUAAAAAGAAAAGCAUGUAUUUAGCAAAAUACCCACAAUGACACAAACUGUUUUAAAAAGCUUCCGCUACGUGUAAUGUUUUGCAAACUAACGAUUGAAUAAAAAAACACUAUUUCAGGAUUAACAAAAGAUAACGAAAAGCUCUAAACGGAGAAUUUUUUAAGCAAAGUUACAAUUUUUUUCAAAGAGCUUCGGUUUUCAAACACACUACCAUGUGACAUCGCCAGAUUCGGUCAUAAUGUCUAGGCCGGGUUUGGGGUGUUACAUUUAAAAUCUUUCAACAAAACUUUAAUACUACCUUAAUGACACUCCGUAAAUAUUUAUAAAAAUAUUUAUGACCCGGUUUAUAGAAACGAGGUCCCGUUACCUUAUUUUCUAAAACCACUUGAACUAGGGUUUUAUCACUCGAAUCUAAUAAUUCAUUAUAAGACAUAAAUUACUAAUUCAAAAAAAUUUUUAAACCAUAUUUGACUCGUAAAUAUUAAAUAAUAAAAUUUACGAGCUUACUCGUCGGAUUUGGUGGCGUCGAACCACUGUUUCCUACAUCACUGAAAAUCGGGCUGUUACAGUUAUGGGUAGUUCUAGACAUUGUGUUAAAAAAGAGCAGAUAUGAUCAGAACCUAUAAUGAGAUGGUUAAAAAAAUUUAAUUUUUUUAUCGAAAUUUAAAAAAAAAGUAGUUUAUAUUUUUUGUUGUUUUACAUUUUCUACUUUUUAUUGCCACGAGAGUUGCAACUUUAGUGUCUCAUGCAAUUUCAAAGUAGGUGUUAAAUUGUAAUGGAAUUUGACUCAAAAUAAUAAUAAAAAGUUGUAUAUAAAGUCAAAUUGAAUAAAGAUAUUAAAGGUUAGAGGCUAAUUUAUUAUAAUGCCUUAAAUAUAUAUAUAUAUAUAAACCCAAAUAAGUACUUAACGAAAUCUAAGUAUAAUACAUAAACUUCUAUGGCAUUUUACUGAUAAUUUGUUUGGUUUAUGAUAAAAAGUAAAUUUUUUUAUUAAUAAAUAUAUUAGUAAUGGUAAGUUAUAUUAAAAUUUUAAAAAGAAAAUUUUAAAUUUAAAACUUAAAAACGAUAUUAUUAAAAGAGACCACUCUGAAUAAAGUAAUGUAAGAGAAAAGCAAGCAGAAAGAAUCAAUUUCCAAAAAUUAUAAAAAUAAAUAAAAAAUAAAAAGAACUUAAAAUUAUAAAUAUAUAUAUGUAGAAGUUUUCUCAAUUUUUAAUAAAAAAUUCUAUGAGAUGCAAAGGAGUUUAACAAAUAAUAAUAAUUUUAAAAAGUCGUUAAAAAAUUUCACGAUUCUUAAAAAAUGAUAUUAGAAACUUAAAAGAUUAGUUUAAUUAUCGUUUCAAAAAAAUUAGCUUCAUUGUGUAAGUAAUACUAAAUUAAAUUAUCGAUACUUUAUAUACCUUUUCAUAUUUUCCAAAUUUUACUACAGUUUAAUUGAAUAAAUUAUUAAAAAUAUUUUAAAAAUGGAAAAAUAUUAAUUCAAUUACCAGUUCAAUCAAUCUGGUCUUUUCUUCCAAAUCGAUACCUUAAUCGGUUCUCAAUCCAAUGAUUCGAUCGACCAGUCUAGUCCACUUCUGGAAACAGUUACUUUUUUCAUAAUUUUUGACUUUUUCAUUAUUUAAAAUUCUUUGGCAUUUAAAAAAUAGAAUUUCUUUUUUUCUUAUUGAGUCUUAGCUCGAUUGGCAUGGAUAUUGUUGUCAAUGCAUGAGAUCAUGGGUUCAAGUGCACUAAAGCUUAUUCGCCUCUUAUUUAUGGGUUGUGGAGGGGUUAUUGUAACACCCCUAACACGAGUCCACAACUGGAAUAGGGUUACGAAGCAUUACCGGAGUUUACAGAACAAAUAGACAAAUAUUUCAAAUAUUCCACAUCACAUAAUAUACAUGUCAGAAACCAAUUGGAAUUAAACAUAUUGUCCCUUAUACGAGCCCUUGAGGCCCAAAAUACACAUUAGAAGCAAAUCGGGACUAAAUCGAAAACUCAAAAAAAUUUUUAGAAACAUUUAAUAUUUUCAACACUGCAGGGCUCACACGGCCGUGUGACUCACACGGUCAAGAGACACGCCCGUGUCUAAGACCGUGUAACUCACUGACUUGUAUUCUUUUAAAAGAUACAGAGGACACAUGACCGUGUUACCUGGCCGUGCGUCACACACGGCUGAGACACACGCCCGUGUCUCUGCACAUGUGGACGAAAAUAAACUAUUUUACAAGCCACAUUUCUCACCCAAUUUGGUGUCAACCCACAAUCAACAUUACUUAUAUCUAUAACACCCCUUAACCCGAAUUCAUCGCUAGAUUAGGGUUAUGAGACAUUACCUAACAAAACACAACUCAGAACAGACAUUCAAUUGAAUUCAAGUACUAGGCAAUAUAAUAUUCUUUAUAAAAGUUUUCUAAAUCAAUUCAUAUAUAUAUAUAUAUAUAUAUAUAUAUUUAUAUAUUUCACAUAUACAAAUCAUGCUUCAUUAAUACAAAGUUCGAAUCGUAUGAAAUUCAAAUGCAUGACCUUUCGAAUGCCUAAAACAUUAUUGAACACAAAGAACAAAUCAUUGUAUACCAAAUUUGCAUGCUUUAUAAUCAAUUCAAAGUACAAAUACUGAACCAUUCAAGCAUUAUAAAGUUGCAUACAUUGCCAUUACAACUAAAUCAAAAUAACCUAUGUAUAUUCGAAUAUAUAAUCAUCUCAUACCUAGCAUGCAUUAAGACAUCCAUUAAUUCAAUUUCAUUUAUUUAAGAAUUACCAAAAAUAUCAUAUACUUAGCCAUUUUAAUUCAUCACAAGAUUAUGAGCAUAAACUAUAAUAACUUAAAGCAUCUUGAACAUAAAUAACAACAAAUAUUACACUUAUUUCACAUGCCCAAAUACCAUAGUUAGAAUUCAUACACUUAACCAAUAAAUUAACUACCUAUUCGGUUAUAUAGGAAACCUUAUUUACUUCAUAUUUAUAUAAUCAUGCCAUACACACAUCACAUUUUUUAACAAGCCAAUUAUGUUCAUACACUUAAUUCAUUAUUUACCAUUAAGCAGCCAAACCUUUAUAGUAAAUAUAUAUACAAAUACAUUAUAAGCUUAUAGAUACCUGUAACAUAAAUCCAAUACUUGUCCAUCUAACAUCAAAUUAUUCAAACCGAAACACCUAUUCAUCCUCACUCACAAACCAUACCAUAUAAUGCAUUUUCAAAUAAUUUAAUUACAAAGCCGAAUGACCUUAACACAUCCAUUACUCAUACCUAAUUUACUUAAGUUAAAUCAUAUCAAAUCACCAUAACAAAACAUACUAAGCAUAUCAUACAUAUAUAUAUAUAACACAUAACCAAAAUCACUUAAAGUUAACAUUAUUUACCUUACUAAAAUACAUCAAACAUACCUCAUCUACCUUAUUGCCAAAACACAUGAACAAAACAUCACCAUAUAUAUAUAUAUGCCAUACCAUGUGAUUACUAUCCAUAUAAGAUUAAACCAUGACCAAAACAAACUUAAGCCAUAAUUAAACCGAAACCGAACACAAGCAAGGAAAUUAAGCCAUUUUCGCAUGGCUUUUAUACAAACACUUUCAAAUUAAACUAACUCCAAAGCUAGCCUAUACAUGCCAUAGUUUCAAAUAAAUUCAUUUUAUAAAAUACUGAAAAUAGUCGAUAGUGUGAUAGGCUUUGCUAACGAUUCCCGAGCUCGUAGCUUGACUCCAAAAUCUAUAAAACAGAGGUAAACAAGAACAUACACACAGUAAGUUAUUUAUGCUUAGUAAGUUAUAAGCAAAAAACAUUUAUAAAUACAUUUGCAUAUUAACAUUAGGAUAAUAAGACCGACUACACAUAUUUUUCCGAUACAAGUACAUCAUUUACUACAAGGGUCACACUUUAAUCACACAUACAUAUACCAUAUGGCCGAAUAUAAUCGAUCAUUUACACAUAUAUAUUUUCACUUUUAUUAUCACAAAUACAUCAAUAGGCCGAAUCACUUAUAUGAUCAAAUAUGCUAACCCAUAAUUCAUAUUCACAAAACUUUAUAUCAUUUCAAAUAAUCAACUUACAUUGUUUUCAUUUAAACAAAUAACUAACACAUACCUGAACCUGUAAUUCGAUUUCACAUUUGGUAUUUACUUCAUAUUGCCCGUUGAAUCGUUCAAAGUUAAAAAUGAUACGCGGAUAGUCUGAAAGCUCAUACAAUGCAAACGUCCCAAACGUGGUCUUAUAUGUAAUUACAUAUCGAUGCCACUGUCUCAGACAGGGUCUUACACGUAAACACAAGUUGAUGCCAACGUCCCAGAUGUGGUCUUACACGAAAAACACAUAUCAGAGGUCCUAUGCCAUGACAUAUUUAUCCUAUCUAUUCCUGGGGUUCGUACGGGACUUUCGGACAUUUUAUCUCUAUCAAAACGAGCUCGAAACAUAGUUCCCCUAUCUCAAAUCACAUUCGGCCAAACACAUAUAUAAUCGAAUAAUUCAAUUCAUCACAUAACAUUUAUAUAUUAUCAAGUUUAACAACAUUUAAAUGUCUAUAGACUUACCUCGAAUAUUGACGGACGGAAUAAUCGACUAUUCGUUUAUUUUUGUUUUUCCCUGAUCCAGUUCCAUUUUCUUUGGUUCUUGAUCUAAACAUAUUCAAAUUCAACCAUUUUAUUCAUCAAAUCAUUCAAUUUAAUCCAAAAACACAUAACUGGGAAAGUUACCAUUUUGCCCCUGACAUUUUACACUUUUUGUAAUUUAGUCCCUAUUGCAUAAAACUCAAAAUACACAAAAUUUGCAUAUACCAUGCUAGGGCCGAAUAUUCAUAGGCUCCAUACAAGUCCAUAUAUUUAAUUUUUUUCACAUUUUAGUCCCUCAAAAUAUUAUUUUUACAAUUUAACCCUAAUUACUCAAAUUCACCAAAAAUCCAAAAACAAAACAUAUUAAUCUAACACAUAUAUUUCAUAAUUCAUCAACUAUCAUCAUAAAACUCAUAAACUCAUCAAUGGCACAUUUCAAAAUCUUCAUCAAAAUAAAAAAUUCAAUGAUGGGUCUUGAAGUAUUUGAAGCAACGAUUACAAAAACAUAAAAAUUAUCAAAAACCGAACAAAAACUAACUUUAAAUCAAGCUUCAAAGAUGGCCGAAUAGCUAGGUUUUUCUUCUUUUCUUUUCUUUAGUUUCGGCUAGUAGAUAAAGAAAUAAAAGAUGAUAAUGACUUUUAUUUGUUUUAUUAUAACAUUAUAAUAUAAUAUAUAUUAUAACCUUUAUAAAUAAUAAAAAAACUAUAUAUUACAAACAUAAUGCCGUCCACUAUCUUUUCAAUGGUCAAAUUGCAACAUAAAACCCCCAUAUUAAAAGAACAACCACUAAUCAGCCCUUUUAGAAAUAACCACUAAAUUUUUAUUUUACGCGAUUUAAUCUUUUUAUUUAAUCAGACACUCAAACGGCGAAAUUAAAGCACUGUACAAGCCCAAUUUCGCCCGGCCCAUACCAACAAAACAAAAACCAGCCCAAUAACCAAAACCCUAGCAGCCCACUAGACCCAAAACAAGGAAAAAUCUAGCAGAAAACAGAAGAACCCUAGGCGCCGCUCCUAGGGUCUUCUGACCUUUGGUUUUCUGCCCACCUGCUCUGCCAGCAACCACCGCCAACUGCCACUGUCACCUCCACCCACGUGCGCCCAUGCCUGCAAUGACAGAAAGAAAACAUCAGCAAGUAAAAUAGACUAAAAAAAUUCAUGUAAAUUGGCUAUAAAGCCAACAAAAAAUCUUUGUAAAGGGGUUCGGAAAAAAAGAAAAAAAAAAGAGAUUGAAGAAAUAGAAAAGAAAAUCAGUUUGAAAGGUGAUAUUUUUAGUCUUUUUCUCUUCGAUUUGGAUCUGUUCUUGCUCUUUCUUUUCUUUCACAUUUAAUAAAAUAAAAAAGUAAUAAACGAAACUUACCUGAGCCGUCGUUGUUGUGGCGUCGCCGGAGUCCGAGUUACUGAGAACGGACGAGGAUGACGACUUUUGGGGUUCUCUUUCUCGGCCUUAGGGUCUUUAAAACCCGAUCUUCUAAAGGCUUUUGAAAAGGGGUUUAAAAAAACCCGACCUUUCGCCUUCUGACUGCCGCCUACGGUGGCGCCGGCACCGAUAAUCGGCGACCGGCAUGGUGGCCCGCGGCAGGGACUUUGGCCGGAGAAAAGAGGGGUGGGGAGAGUAUUUUGGAUGUUUUUUUUGUUUAAAACAGAGGAGAAUGACAAAUAAAAAAAAAGGCGGCUUAAAUAGACACCCUAAACGGCGUCGUUUAAGGCUAGCACCAUAGUCCAAAAACGGCAUCGUUUUGACACGGAUCAGGCCGACCCGACCCGACCCAAUGAAGGUCCGCGUGUUUUUGUACCUGAGGGUCUAUUUGUGAUUUCGGCCCUUCCGCAUUUUAACUAUUUUACAAUUAAGUUUCUUUUUUUUAAUUUGAUCUUGAAAUUUCUUUCAUGUUUCAAAUUGAUCCUCCUUGAUGCGAUGCGUUUUGAGGGCUCCGGUCUAUUUACCCGUCUGGUCCCUCUCUGUUUGGCGGGAGUUGCAAUUUAAUCCCGUUUUUGUUUUUUUAUUUCGAUUUUUAAUAAUGAUCAAUUAUUAAUACACUGCUUUCUGGAUAGUCUUAUAGGUGCGGCAUUAAAAUGGUACAAUCAGCUAAGCCGGACCAAAAUUGCUACUUGGAGAGAUUUGGCACAGGCUAUUUUUUAUAUAUAUACUUAUAUACAUACUUUUUAUAUUUUAUGAUAAUUAUAUACGUAUAUGCACAUAUUUACUUAUAUAUAUAUAUUUUAUAAUGCAUAUAUACAUAUAUUUUUCAUGUUUUUAUAAAUUUACGUACAUAUUUAUAUUCUAUAUAUCUUUGUAUUUUAUGAUCUACAUACAUAUACAUGUAAAUACUUAUAUUUUUAUAUCUUAUAAUUUAUAUUUUUUUCAUACUUACAUAAUUUUAUGUAUAUACAUACAUUCUUUCCCUUCAUAUGUACAUACAUAUUUUUCAUAUUUUAUAUUUUUCAUAUAUUUUCCUUUAUUUUUAUGUUCAUUUAUGUAUUUAUUUAUAUGCCCAUUUUAUGCUUUAGUUUAUUUAUUUAUUUAUUUGCUAUGGAAUGUAUGAUUGAUUUAUCAUUCGUUUUGUUCAUUUUUUUACAUAAUCAUGUUUAUUAUUCCAUCAUGCACGUGAAUAUCAUGUUUUAAAAAAAAAGAAAAUAUUUCAAAAUAAGGCAAUAUUUUGCGUUUGGAAAUUCGAGGAACGUGCCCUAAGGUACUGGGUUUCGAUUUCUCGUUUGACCAAAUGACUUAAUAUCCUUUUCAAAAAUUUUCAAAAUAAGGCAAUAUUUUGCGUUUGGAAAUUCGAGUAACGUGCCCUAAGGUACUGGGUUUCGAUUUCUCGUUCGACCAAAUGACUUAAUAUCCUUUUCAAAAAUUUUCAAAAUAAGGCAAUAUUUUACGUUUGGAAAUUCGAGGAACGUGCCCUAAGGUACUGGGUUUCGAUUUCUCGUUUGACCAAAUAGCUAAAUAUCCUUUUCAAAAAAAACUUUUCAAAAAUAAGGCAAUGUUUUGCGUUUGGAAAUUCGAGAAAUGUGCCCUAAGGUGCUGGGUUUCGAUUUCACGUUUAGCCAAAUUGCUGAAUAUCCUCUUGAAUUUUAAUCCAUGCCAUUCGAAAAAUUUUUAAGGAUCGUAUUUUGAAUUUCUUUAAAGUUUUCAGCUUUUCGACACUAAGACAUUAAGUAAUCAACUAGGUACCAAUUUUGGGCGUAUCGAGGGUGCUAAUCCUUCCUCGUGCGUAACCGACUUCCGAACCCAUUUUUUUGGAUUUCAUGGACCAAAAUUGUUGUUUUAAUAAAAAACAAAAUCGUUUAUUAAAAACAACCAGUUUUCAAGUGAUCCAGUCACACCUCAUCAAAAAGGAUUGGUGGCGACUCCCGUUUUAUCCGUUUUCGUCAAAACCCAAGUCAACCCCGUUUUUAUCCAAAAAAAUGGUGUCAACAGCUUGGCGACUCCGCUGGGGAUUUUAAAUAAGAGAGUCAAGCCACGAGUUGAUUAUUUCUUAUUUUUUUGUCGAAAGUUGAAAAUUUGAUUUAAAUAUACGAUCUUCUCAUUGCAUUUCAUUUGUUUUGAAUUAUAGCUUUCAUUAUGCUUUGUAUUUUAAAUUUUUAUCUCUGCAUUGCAUUGCAUGACCGUUGGUCACACCUUUUAAGUGGGAGUGAGAAGCUAUUCCUUCGUGAGGUUUUCACCUCCGUGCAGGAUAGUGGAUCGCUUUCGGGAUACAUCUGUACCUAUGUCUUCGUGAGAUUUUCAUCUCCGUGCACCCAUAGGGAAAUGUAUCCCCCUGAACCGAACUCGAUCUGUAUGAGCCUAUAAUGGGUGAAGAUCGAGGAAUCUGCUGGUUUGGGUACCCUUAUUUUAGAGCCAAACCAUAUAUAGUGAACCUUAGGGACUCACCCUCGGUAGAACUACACCGAACCCUAGUGGUACCCUGAUAUGUGUUUUUAUUCUUUCUGAAUUGUUUUGGAUUAUAUGUUUAUAUCUGAUACUAAUCUUUGCUGUUUUACUUUGGAUGCAUGACAUUUUAACUGCAUGGCAUUUCAUUACAAAAGGCGUUGAUUCACAUUCGAUUUCUAGACAGAAAGCUCAUAAUGGAAAACGAAUUUCUUGAUAAGGCUGAAAAUAAUGCGGUUGUCCAAACAUGGUCAGAAAGAACGCAACUUGAGAAAGGUGAUAGUGUAACGGAGGGGUAUACAUCAGAAUUAUGGGACUUCACUUGUAUCAACGUAACUCAGAAUAAUCUCCAAGACUUGAAAGAAAUCUGGGCUCAGUGGGAUGACGAGGUCAAACAAUUGUUUUACUAUAAUUAUGGUGAUUUGCCCUACUUGCUCGACAUCAAAGUGGACGAGCAUUUAUUUCGAGCUCUGGUCCAAUUUUGGAAUUCUGCUUAUAGCUUUUUCACCUUUGGGGAAGUAGACUUGGUGCCUACCGUGGAGGAGUAUACAGCUUUGCUUUGUUGUCCAAGAAUCCAAGUAGAUAAAGUUUAUGCUAGAACUGCCAAUGUUCUCCCUUUUACAAAGAAGUUAGCAAAGAUCACUGGAAUGAGCGAGCAAUGGGUUACGGCACGAACCAAGCAAAAAGGAGAAAAUAAAUGUAUCCCUUGGAGAAGUUUGCGAGAUCAGAUUUCGGCACACCCUGAUACAAAGAAGAAAGUCGAUGUCCUCGCCUUGAGUAUCUAUGGGCAGGUUAUUUUCCCCAAAGCGUUAGGACAUAUUGAUGACACAGUUACAAAUUUGUUCAAUCAGCUUGACAGGGGGGUUACACCUAUCCCAGCAAUUCUGGCCGAAACGUUCAGAUCUUUAAGUGCAUGCCGAAGAGCGGGCGAAGGAAGAUUCAUUGGUUGUGCACAGCUCCUGUUAGCUUGGUUCCACAGCCACUUCUGGAAGGUGGAUAAGGUUUCUUACAAAGUAUUCUCUGAAAGGUAUUCUCCUUUGAAAGAAUUAGCAGCGACGCCAAGACGUGACGAUAUUUCUGGAGAAAGGUGGAUGGCGAUCCUUCAAAAUCUCCGAGAUGAAGAUGUUGAAUGGAAAGCUCCUUGGAUGGUGCCUGACGAGAUUUUAUAUCGAUGUGGAGACUUCGAUUGGGUUCCUUUACUCGGAAUUUGGGGAGCCGUUGGAUAUACCCCUCUGCUCGUAUUAAGACAGUAUAGAUCAAGGCAGUUCAUACCGGCAAUGCAAGGACUGGCCGAAUGUGAGUUUUCUUAUGGAGAUAAUAACUACAAGGGAAAGAUUCGAGAAAUGUCCAACGCUUGGAAGCAAACUCACCGGAUGAAAAGAUUUACCUUUGGGGCAAUGAUAACUCCUGAAUAUCAUGGGUGGCGAAGUAAGAGAAUUAACGACAAUAUUCCUGAACCAAGUCACGAAGGUAGUCAGUUAAUGGAGGAGCAUUUACGGGUCAUCCCUUCUGAACUGGAAAUAUUAAAGCAAGACUUUGAAAGAAGAAAUGCAGAAUUAGAAAAGCAGAUAGAGUGAAUAGAGGAAGAAAAAAUGAAUUUAAGAUUGGAUGUAGAUGUUCAGAAGCUUGAGGCGGAGCAACUAAGAAAAGGGAAAGCUAGGGUUGAAGAAGAUCUUGAUAGUUUAAAAAUAGAUUACAAGAAGAUGCGGCUAUCAAUGAGGACUGUAGGGUUGGGAAAAACUUCGGAACAGUGGCGCAAAAAAAUUCAAGAAGAGAAGAAUAAGGCUGAUGAAUGAGAAAGGAGGUUCCAAGAAAUUCAAGCACAGAACGAGACUCUGAAGAGAAGUUUAUCGGAGAAUCAGAAAGAGAAAGGGGAGCUAGAGAACAGAGUGAUUGAAUUAGAAGGAUCUCUUCAUCGGCACCGAAAUCGGAACUCUGUGAUGGAAUUGAGAGCAAGCCUAAAUAGAAUUGAAAAGAUGAAAGAAAGAACUGAAGAGUUAGAGGCAGCAUUGCGAAAUUGCGAGAUCCGGAUCGAGUAUUUGGAAGCUAAUGAAGAUCGUCAAAACGAGCAGUUGCACUACUUUCAGAACCAAGUUAGAGAUAGAGAUCACAUUAUGGGAGAAGCUGUGGCUCAAAUUCGAGAGGUUGCGGAUCAUCUGCAGACACUAACAGUGCAAGCUGAUACGCUAAGUGUGAAGUAUGAGUUGGAAUCAAGCCGAGGAAAAGAGCUAGCUUCAUUACUUAAGAAGAUUAGAAUUUUGAGCAUUAGGGCAAAACCGUAUAUGUAAUCGGACUUAUGUAAAGAAUUUUGUUUUUCUAAUAAAGUUUUCUAAAUGGAAUUGAAUCAAAGUCAAUGCCUUUUCUUUUCGCAUUUCAUUUCAUGCAUUGCAUCACAUUAUAUGCAUUAACAACCAUCAAAGGACCCUAAUUGAAUAAAAUUAUUUCAAUUAACCUGGAAAAUCGACACUGUUACGGCACCCGUGCUAAAUCAAAAAUUAUGGAUCAAAGGAUGGAAAAACUAGAACGGCUUCAAAAGGAAAUGCAAGACCAGUUGCAGGUGCAAUUGAAGGAACAUAUGGAAAAGAUCCAGAAAGACAUGGCGCAAAAGAUGAAAGAGUCUCAAGAUGACCUAAUGACUAAAUUGACGCAAUUAAUAGCCAAGGAAGCGGAUAAAGGGAAAAGUCCUGUGAUUUGCGAUGAAGAAGGAAACAAUGAUGAGCCACUUUUUCCUCUAGGAUUCACGCUUCCGCAAGCGCAAAUUCAGAUUGAACCACAUCCACGAAGACCUUCUGUUUCGAUUAGGCCUCAGCACUUUCAAGGUGACGCUUCAAUACCGAAGAACCUUCAGGUCAGAUCUGGUUCUAGUCCUGGCGAUAAUCUGGUUGUCCCGGACUUCGAUGAAGUAGCUGAGAAAGACAAGAUAAAGGAAGAGUUACCAAAGCAGUUUGAGGAGAAAUGGAAAUGGAUUGAAGAGAAAUUUAGGGCGAUAGAAAGUAUCGACAGCUAUCGUGGAAUAGAUGCGAAAGAUCUGAGCUUAAUUCCGAAUUUGGUGCUUCCUUACAAAUUUAAGAUGCCGGAAUUCGAGAAAUAUAAUGGGACCAGUAGCCCAGAAGCUCAUAUUACUAUGUUCUACAGGAGAAUGAUGGGGUAUAUUAAUAAUGAUCAAUUAUUAAUACACUGCUUUCUGGAUAGUCUUAUAGGUGCGGCAUUAAAAUGGUACAAUCAGCUAAGCCGGACCAAAAUUGCUACUUGGAGAGAUUUGGCACAGGCUAUUUUUUAUAUAUAUACUUAUAUACAUACUUUUUAUAUUUUAUGAUAAUUAUAUACGUAUAUGCACAUAUUUACUUAUAUAUAUAUAUAUAUAUAUUUUAUAAUGCAUAUAUACAUAUAUUUUUCAUGUUUUUAUAAAUUUACGUACAUAUUUAUAUUCUAUAUAUCUUUGUAUUUUAUGAUCUACAUACAUAUACAUGUAAAUACUUAUAUUUUUAUAUCUUAUAAUUUAUAUUUUUUUCAUACUUACAUAAUUUUAUGUAUAUACAUACAUUUUUUCCCUUCAUAUGUACGUACAUAUUUUUCAUAUUUUAUAAUUUUCAUAUAUUUUCCUUUAUUUUUAUGUUCAUUUAUGUAUUUAUUUAUAUGCCCAUUUUUAUGCUUUAGUUUAUUUUAUUUAUUUAUUUGCUAUGGAAUGUAUGAUUGAUUUAUCAUUCGUUUUGUUCAUUUUUUUACAUAAUCAUGUUUAUUAUUCCAUCAUGCACGUGAAUAUCAUGUUUUAAAAAAAAAAGAAAAUAUUUCAAAAUAAGGCAAUAUUUUGCGUUUGGAAAUUCGAGGAACGUGCCCUAAGGUACUAGGUUUCGAUUUCUCGUUCGACCAAAUGACUUAAUAUCCUUUUCAAAAAUUUUCAAAAUAAGGCAAUAUUUUGCGUUUGGAAAUUCGAGGAACGUGCCCUAAGGUACUGGGUUUCGAUUUCUCGUUCGACCAAAUGACUUAAUAUCCUUUUCAAAAAUUUUCAAAAUAAGGCAAUAUUUUACGUUUAGAAAUUCGAGGAACGUGCCCUAAGGUACUGGGUUUCGAUUUCUCGUUUGACCAAAUAGCUAAAUAUCCUUUUCAAAAAAAACUUUUCAAAAAUAAGGCAAUGUUUUGCGUUUGGAAAUUCGAGAAAUGUGCCCUAAGGUGCUGGGUUUCGAUUUCACGUUUAGCCAAAUUGCUGAAUAUCCUCUUGAAUUUUAAUCCAUGCCAUUCGAAAAUUUUUUAAGGAUCGUAUUUUGAAUUUCUUUAAAGUUUUCAGCUUUUCGACACUAAGACAUUAAGUAAUCAACUAGGUACCAAUUUUGGGCGUAUCGAGGGUGCUAAUCCUUCCUCGUGCAUAACCGACUUCCGAACCCAUUUUUUUGGAUUUCAUGGACCAAAAUUGUUGUUUUAAUAAAAAAAAUUGUUUAUUAAAAACAACCAGUUUUCAAGGUGAUCCAAUCACACCUCAUCAAAAAGGAUUGGUGGCGACUCCCGUUUUAUCCGUUUUCGUCAAAACCCAAGUCGACCCCGUUUUUCAUCCAAAAAAAUGGUGUCAACAAGCACGAAAUUUUCACACAAGUAAAUUCACACAUAAUAAACACAGAAAAAAAUUUUAAAAUAUUUUUCUAACUCGGAUUCGUGGUCUCGAAACCACCGUUCCGGUUAGGGUCAUAAUCGGGCUAUUACAAUAUCAACAAGCUGUAAUUAGGCAUCCAAAACAAGCCAAAAUAAGUGUAUUCAUGCAUUCAAUAUACUCAAAUGUAUAACUAACUUAUAUGCAUUUUUGUACCCAAAGUAUACCAAGCUAAUUUGCUUUAUUUCAAACCAAGUCACUUCCCUGCCAAAACAUACCAUUUGGUGCCAAAAUGUAUUUCAAAUACUAACAUAUUUAAAUAUAUAUAUACCUUAUAUAUUAAAGUGCCGAUUCAUGAUAAAUUCAUCACAUUCCAAAUCACAUGUAUAAAAUGCACAUUAGCUAACAUUUUACCUUUCGCCAUACAACCAGAAACCAAACCACACAUCAACCAUAUAACACAAAUAUGCACAAAUCAAAAUGUGUCAAAACACAAGCCAAAUAAGUGGCUAAUCUCAACAAAAUUCAUAUAGGCCAACAUUAACCAGAUUACCUAUACAUGCCAUUAUAACCAAAAUCAAAACAUCCGAAAGUACCAAUAGAAAUGAUGGAUAGUGUGAUAUAUCUCCGAUAAGCUUCCAACCCGAUCGAGCUUCCGAUAAUCUAGAAAGUAAAGGAAAACAACUACGUAAACAAUGAAUGCUUAGUAAGCUCGUAUAAACUUUAAUCAUAUCAAUUCAUUUCAAAUAUGAAAUUUAUACAUAUCAAGAAUAAUCCAAUAUUGAUACCGCAAUACUCGUGAAGUUAUAUUCAAUAACUCACAAGGUGAACAAAUCCACCGCAUCACUUAUACAUAUUAUUCCUAGCAUAUUAGGAUUUUAAGCAACUUUAACUCUUCCAAAUUUCUUUAUUUUCAUUUGCAUUUCUUUACUUUCCACACUUAUUCCAUAUGCAUAAUGUAAUACCCAAUUUUGCCCCGGGGCCCAUUCAGAAUAAGCAGAAAAAAAACAAAAAAAUAAUAAUAAAUAAAAUUCAAUCCAAAAACAGUCCAUUUACAUUAGCCCAGAUCAAUUUACACAAAAAUAAUAAUAAUACAAACUCUAGCCCCAAAAUAUAACAAGACCUAAUACAAAUAGCCCAUUAAUCUAUCCCGACCUAAACCCGAUUCUAAGCCCAGCAAACCAACUCAGCCCAAAUGGCCCAACACUAGAAUACAUAGUAGUAAACCGUAGCAGCAUUCAGCCCCAGUGCGCGCCGUAGUAGCCUCCACGCACGCGUUGAGCUUCCACCCCACGCACGCCCAAUGAGAAUUUUUUCGAUUUUUGCUAUUUAUUUUAUUCGAUUUUUUCGGUUCUUUGUCGAAUGAGGAUAUAAGAACCGAAAACCCUUUGUAUUUCUCCCUUACGCAUUCAAAAUACAAAAAAGAAUCAGAAAUACUGAAAGGUGAUUUUUCUGGGUUUAUAUUCUUUUUCAUUUUACCAGUUAUUCGUUUCCUUUCUUUUCUUUCUUUUAUUUAUUUUUGUGUUCAUUAAUCGGGAGAGAAGAGAAGAGAUAACAGUAAAAGAAAGGACGUACCUGGUGACCGCAUCCUCUCUCUCUCCGUCGUCAUCAGAGUUGAGUGGGGGUUGGAGGGUCUGAGAAGAGGAUUCGUCGAGCGGCACAAAGUUUUUAGUUUAGGUUUUGUUAUUAAAAGUGAUAGGGUUUUUUAGGUUUAUUUUAUUCUUAAGCACAGAAUUUUAAACGUCACCGUUUGUUGCUAAUGCAAUGGCUUCAAAACGGUGUCGUUUUGAUGACCCGAUCCAAACGCUGACCCGAUCCGGGAAGGAUCUGCGCAUUAUGGAUCGUUUGGUUUAUUUAUUUAAUAGGUCCUUAUGCGUUUACUGGAAUGGCAAUUUAAUUUCUUUAAUCAUUUGUAAUUAUACCGUGUAUUUAACUUAGUUUUCAUUUAGGUCCAAACUUGAACGCUGUCGUUUUUGUGAUGGAUUGUGAUGCUUGUGUUUAGCCGCUGGUUUCGUCCUUCAGUUUUGAAAUAAAUUUUAAUUUAGUACAAAUUUAGUUUUCUUUCUUAAAAUUCAGAAAUAUUUUAAUUGUAAUUAAUCCUACUUGCAUAUAUUAUAAAGUCUAACAUUAUUUGUAAUAUUUGAUUUUCAUAAUGUUUUAAAUCUACUAUUAUUAUAAUUUAAAAUAUAAUAAACCAUCAUUUUAGUUUGUAUUUCAUAUUUUUAAGUUCAUUAUAUAAUAAAAUUUUGAAUUUACUAUAUAUUUAUUUAAUUUUGUUUUUUUUUCUUUUAGGUUCAAACUUUAUUUAAGCUCCAAUUUUAAACUUUUUAAUAUUUUUCUUAUAAUUGUUGUUAUCACUUUUCAAAGUUGUUUUAUUAUAUUUAAUUUUAUCUUCAAAAAAUGUUUUUAAAAUAAAUUAAUUCCUAUUUUAAUUCAUUUUUAACAUUACUUUGAUAUUUAGUAUGAUAUUGUUUUUAAAAAAAAACAUAAUACAUAAUUUUUUUAAAUUAUUAUCAAUAUGUUUUAAAUUUAUCAAUAUUAUUUUAAAAAUAUAUAAUUUAUAUGAAAUUAUUUUUAGUAUAUAUAUGUAUAUAAAGUAUAUCAUUAAUUUCGGAUUAACCUUUUUUUAUAUGAUUUUUAUACAUAAAUGUUUCAUUUCUUAAACCUUAUUUAUUCGUUUUAUGGGUUGUUAAAUUGUUAAUAUGGACGUUUGUAUGAUAUGAUUAAGGUCAAUGUUUUUAUUUGCCUAUUAUUUAUUUAAUUGCUUGUAAUUUAAGUUUAAAUUGUUAUUUAUCUUUUACAUUACAUGUAUCGUGAUUCAAUCAUGUUCCAUUUGUAAGAGUUGAAUUUUAUUAAAGCAUUAUAAUCGUUUUAUUUCAUGAUUCUUAAAAAAGGCUUGGUGUUCAUAGGUUCUCGAGAGAAUUGUGCCCUAACUUACUGGGCUUCAAUUCUUCUCGAUGAAUUUAGAUAAUCAAGUGUUCAUUUUAUUAAAAUCAUACAAUUAUUAAAACAAAAUUCUUAAGAUUUCAAAAUGUUGGAUCCUAUCUUACUGGAUACGACAUUUUGUUAUCUCGAUUUUAAAAUAAAGGCAAUAUUUUAUGUUUAAGAAUUUCGAGAAAUUGAACCCUAACUUACUGGAUUCUGAUUUCUCGAUUGACUUAGAUAAUCAAAUAUCCUUCUUAAAACAUGUUUUAAAAAAAUUUAAAAGGAACGAAUCUAACUUUGAAGAUUGAACUGUUGCACUCUAACUCACUGAGUGUGGCGGUCUAUUUCUUUGAAAUGGGUCCGUCUAUUUAACCAAUUCAAUUAUUUAAGCUUUCAUUUCAUGGGAUUGUAUUUAAAAAUCUUUUCAAGUUUCGACACUAAGACAUUAAAUAAUCAAUUCGGUACCAAUUUUGGGCGUUACAAGGGUGCUAACCCUUCCUCGUGCGUAACCGACUUCAGAACCUAUUUUCUCAAAUCUCGUAGACCAAAAUCGUUUUAAGGUGAGCCGAUCACACCCCAAUAAAGGAUUGGUGGCGACUCCAAUUUUCAUUUUUAAUAAGUCGAUAACUAAAUUUUUUGUUUUCGAAAAAUGGUUUUGACACAUAACAUACCAGUCAUAAACAUAUCAUUCAACCAUAGCCACAAGCUAAUGCAUCUAAACAUAGCCUUUUUCGAAUUAAUCACCUGAUAAGUCAUUUCAUAAGAAAUUGUAUAACUUAAACCUUACCACUCAUUCAUGAGCACAAGUAUAUUUUCAUUUGAGCACUUACCCUUUCAACACAUCAUAUAAUAAACAUAUUACUAUUUAACCAGUAACUUGGCACUUGUCUAAGCGUCAACAACAACCCUUGUUAGCAUACUUGAACUUAUUUCAUAUAAAUUCAACAUUGAUAAACUUAUUUUAUCAACGUAUCACACUUGAGUUUAUUACUCAUCACAACAUACAUAAUUUCCAUGUAUCAACAUAUCAAGAAAUUGAUAUCUAUACAUAUCAUGACACAUAUCAUUCCCUUACUAUUUCUUCAUAUACAUAUAUCAUCCAAAAACAACUCCUAUUAUUUUACCAUUCGAAGAACAACUUACGGAUAUGAAUACAUCGCUUUCAAAAACCCGAAGGCUAAACAGAAGCUCAUGAAAGCUAAACAGAAAGUAAACACGAAAGUUUGCAACAAAUGUUGAACCUUGGUUUACUUGGGUAAUUUACCGUCAAUUCAUCCUUUACAUUCGAAGUGCCAUAACCCAGUUAUGGUCUUAUCAUCAGAAUGCCAUAGCCAGCUAUGGUCUUACAUAUAAACACUGCCAUGGUCCAACCAUGGUCUUACGUUCAUAGUGCCAUAACCCAGUUAUGGUCUUACCAUCAGAAUGCCAUAGCUCAGCUAUGGUCUAACAUAUAAAUAUUGCAAUGGUCCAACCAUUGUCUUACGUUCAUAGUGCCAUAACCCGGUUAUGGUCUUAUCCAUCAAUUCAUCCUUUGCCACAGAACGAUUGUACUCAAUCUCGCGUUCAAUCCAAACUGAGUAUUAAAUUCGAUAAUAUAUUUCCAAUAAUAAUUCAAUUCCAACAAUAGAACACACAUAUAUAUAGAAUAUCCAUCACCAAAUAACAUUCACUUUAAUCAAAAUUAUACAGAAUAUAGUUCAUACGAACUUACCAGGCUAAAUUGCAAAAAUACCAAGAUAUAGGGGCAUUUUGGUAAUUUUCCAUUUCCCUCGAUUUUCCACCCGAUCUUGAUCUAAAUUAAUAUUUCAUUCAAUUUAUUAAUUUAAAUAAUAAAACAAUUCAUUUCAUGUAAUUUGGUAUUUUUGACAUUAUUACAAAAUUGCCUCUAAAAUUUUACUUUUAUUCAAUUUAGUCCCUGAGCCCAAAUCAUGCAAAUUAACCAUUUUUAAUGCAAAUCCAUGCCAACAGAAUAUUCAUGGCAUUCAAUACAGCCCAAUUUUGCAAUAAUUUCACAACAAAACCUUGUAUUUUUACUAUUUCAACCAUUUAGUCCCUAAUCGAGAAAUUCAUCAAAAAACACUUAAUAAAAUACUUUUAAUUAACAAAUAAUAUCUCAAAUUCAUCAUUUAACAUCAAGAAUAAUAUAUAUUCAUCAAUGGAAACAUCCAAAAUCUUUAACAAAAUCAAAAACAAAUGUAAGAUUUAAUUGGACUUAAUUGUAACAAUCUCAAAAACAUAAAAACUAUUAAAAAUGGAGCUAAAUUUAACUUACCUGCAGCAAAAAUAUGAAAACCAACUUGAGCUCUCCCCCUUCUCUAGUUUUAAACCGAAAAUUGGAGAAGAAAAGCCUAGAAUGCUUUUAAAUUUUACCAUUGUUUCUUUUUAUUUUAUUAUUAUUUUUAUUCAUAUGCCGCCUCAUACAUUAAUUUAGGCAUAUUUAUCACUUAAGUCCCUCCUUAUUUAUUAAUCAAGCCAUUUAGUCACAUUAUUAUAAUUAGCAAGUUUUACACAAUUUUCAAUUUAGUCUUUUUUAAUUAAUUAACUGUUAAAACGUUAAAAUCUUUCAACGAAACUUAAAUACUACCUUAAUGACACUCCGUAAAUAUUUAUAAAAAUAUUUAUGACUCAGUUUAUAGAAACGAGGUCCCGUUACCUUAUUUUCUAAAACCACUUGAACUAGGGUUUUAUCACUCGAAUCUAAUAAUUCGUUGUAAGACAUAAAUUACUAAUUCAAAAAAAAAUUAAACCAUAUUUGACUCGUAAAUAUUAAAUAAUAAAAUUUACGAGCUUACUCGCCAGAUUUGGUGGCGUCGAACUACUGUUUCCAAUAUCACUGAAAAUCGGGCUGUUACAGUUAUGGGUAAUUCUAGGUAUUGUGUUAAAAAGAGCAGAUAUGAUCAAAACUUAUAAUAAGAUGAUUAAAAAGAAUUACUUUUUUAUUGAAAUUAAAAAAAGUAGUUUAUAUUUUUUGUUGAUUUACAUUUUCUACUUUUUAUUGCCACGAGAGUUGCAACUUUAGUGUCUCAUGCAAUUUCGAAGUAGGUGUUAAAUUGUAAUGGAAUUUGACUCAAAAUAAAAAAAAAAGUUGUAUAUAAAGUCAAAUUGAAUAAAUAUAUUAAAGGUUAGAGGCUAAUUUAUUAUAAAACCCCAAAUAAGUACUUAACGAAAUCUAAGUAUAAUACAUAAACUUCUAUGGCAUUUUACUAAUAAUUUGCUUGGUUUAUGAAAAAAAGUGAAUUUUUUUAUUAAUAAAUAUAUUGGAUGUAAUGGAUGGUGGAGAAAGUAGAAAAAGCCUUGGAAUAUUAAAGGAUUGGUUGGGACCAAAAUAUUAAUUAAUUUGGGUUUAAGACUAAUUUUUGGUUGCUCACAUUAUUCAAUUGGUGUUACGCAAUAAAUUAUUCCACAUAUCACAAAAAUUAAAAGUAAUUUAUAAAUCGAAUAAAAAUAGAACUCCGUUCCCUUCCCUUCCAUCUUGCCACCAUUAGCUUCGUUCCCACCAUCUUCACCACCACCUUUGUUCUUCUUCUUCCCUCCGUCGCCGCCCUCCUUGCCAUCCUUCUCUUUCUUAGGAGCUACAAUCUCAACAUGCUUCUUCAGCUUGUCCUUCAAAGCCUUAGCCAAGGCCUUAAUAUCCAUAGUCCCUUUAACUCUGACCAUCUCCUUCUGCCUGUCUACUUUGAACUCUCGGACACCUGCGAUGCCGUUAAAAACAAUAUGUAUCAAAAGUCAGAAUCGAACGCAAGAAUUUCAACGCCGUAAGAGCAACAGAAAAUUGUAAAGGUCAUCACCUUUGGUUUCAGAGACAAUUUUGCUAAUCCUAUCAAAGCAUCCAUUACACUGGCAUCCAAAUUGCACCUUCAAAUCCGCCGUCCUUACCGGGGCCUGAACAAAGAUAAUAAAUAGCAAGCUUAAAUUACAUAAUUUUUUUUUAAAACUUAAACCUCAAGAAAGUAAGUAACAAAAUUUUGAAAUGAUAUAGAAAAUAUGGGAUUUUGUACCUUUUUGGGUUUUUUGUCUGAUUUAUUAUCAGAAUCCUGGUUUUUCUGUUGGUCAGGUUUGAAAACAGAGGUUGAAGAACUCUUUUCCUUCAUUUUCCCAUCCCCUCCUCCUUGCUUGUUUCCGUUCUUUUUCUGCAACAAACACGAAGAAUAACCAUAACACUAAAUCAUAUUAAUUAUGAACCAGAAAACGAAAUGAAAGA